Molecule: ribosomal RNA, 209 nt
Filed under: uncultured bacterium
Lineage: Bacteria
Description: partial 16S ribosomal RNA
Rfam family: Bacterial small subunit ribosomal RNA
Source: RNAcentral
UUCGGAUUGCAGUCUGAAACUCGAGUGCAUGAAGCUGGAAUCGCUAGUAAUCGCAGGUCAGCAUACUGCGGUGAAUACGUUCCCGGGUCUUGUACACACCGCCCGUCACACCAUGGGAGCCGGAAAUGCCCGAAGCCAGUGACCCAACCUUAGGGAGGGAGCUGUCGAAGGUGGAGCCGGUAACUGGGGUGAAGUCGUAACAAGGUAGC